Molecule: unclassified non-coding RNA, 299 nt
Organism: Xenopus tropicalis (tropical clawed frog)
Lineage: Eukaryota; Metazoa; Chordata; Amphibia; Anura; Pipidae
Rfam family: Metazoan signal recognition particle RNA
About the family: The signal recognition particle (SRP) is a universally conserved ribonucleoprotein. It is involved in the co-translational targeting of proteins to membranes.
Source: Ensembl
GCCGGGCGCUGUGGCGUGUGCCUGUAAUCCAGCUACUUGGAGGCUUGGGCUGUCGGAUCGCUUGAGUCCAGGAGUUCUGGGCUGCACUGAGCUAUGUCGAUCGGGUGUCCGCACUAAGUUCGGUAUCAAUAUGGUGUUCCUGGGGGAGCCUCGGAUCACCAGGUUGCUCUAAGGAGGGGUGAACCGGCCCAGGUCGGAAACGGAGCAGGUCAAAACCCCCGUGCCGAUCAGUAGUGGGAUCGCGCCUGUGAAUAGCCGGUGUAGAACAGCCUGGACAACACAGCGAGACACAGUCCUUU